AACGAACGCUGGCGGCGUGGAUAAGACAUGCAAGUCGAACGCUCAUUUGUUUGCAGCAAUGUAGGCAAGUGGGAGUGGCGCAAGGGUGCGUAACACGUGGGUAAUUUGCCGCGAAGUUGGGGAUAACUCGCUGAAAGGCGAGCUAAUACCGGAUGUGGUUAGCCGGUGGCAUCAUUGGCUGACCAAAGUUGGGGACCCGCAAGGGCCUGACGCUUUGCGAUAAGCCCGCGGCCUAUCAGCUAGUUGGUGAGGUAACGGCUCACCAAGGCCAAGACGGGUAGCUGGUCUGAGAGGACGACCAGCCACACUGGAACUGAGAGACGGUCCAGACACCUACGGGUGGCAGCAGUCGAGAAUUUUUCACAAUGGGCGCAAGCCUGAUGGAGCGACGCCGCGUGGGGGAUGAAGGGCUUCGGCUCGUAAACCCCUGUCAUUUGCGAACAAACCCUCAUAUUGAACAGAUGUGAGGUUGAUUGUAGUGAAAGAGGAAGGGACGGCUAACUCUGUGC
RNAcentral lists this ribosomal RNA (509 nucleotides) under uncultured bacterium. Its description in RNAcentral is "bacterial SSU rRNA". It matches the Rfam family "Bacterial small subunit ribosomal RNA", at positions 29 to 508 of the family's 1533-position model. The record is from RNAcentral.